CCAGGUGGUGCGUCCCUGAGGGGGCGGCGAGGCUCUAACAGCUCCACUCCAUCACGCAAAUAUGAGAAGACAAAUACAGAGCAAGUGGAGUGCUAUCAUGUGGGCAGGCCGUGUGUUGUGUGGCCCUUCCCCUCAUGAGAGUGAACAAAAAUCCAAACAGCUGUGUCAUCGACUAACCGUAGGAGAGGGCAGAUCCAAGGGUCCACAGCAACAGGUAUGUCCAAUAGUUAAAGAUUUGUAAUUGCUUAACUGUCCAAAUAAAUAUCAGUCUCCUGAUACUCAUAUGAGCCAGCAAGUUAACUUCUUUUCAAUAAAUCAUGAGUGUGGUCAACAUGGAGGAGUUAAAAGACACUUGGUGCAGCCUGACGUAACAGUGGAGGAGACGGCGGUCUAGAGAAGUGGAAACAGCGUCGCCCCCCCAGGAAAGUUGAGAGGAGCCGGUGAAUUGUGGCAGCAGCUCAUCUUCCCGCCCUUGGUGCCUUUUACAGUUCCACUGCGAAGCACCACGGGUCAGGCUAACAGCGAGGUGACACUCUAAUGACCACAAUAAAAAGGCAUUUCAUUCACACCUUCUCCUCUAUGAACAGGUUCACUUCCAACACAUGGCCUUUGUAGCUGCCCAUGCCACCUCAUUCAUAUCCUCUUGAUAACCCCCCCACACACACCAUUUCCAGCUGUGUAUCCCCGUCAAAAGGACUUCACCAGCAAGAAGAACCCCACUGUCCUGCUUUGAUCUCAUUCAUCCUGCUCACCUCUGACACCACAGCUCCUCUCCCCCUUCUCUAGACGCAACUGCUGGAGUCAACACACUGGAGGGUAAAAUGCUCACCCUGCUGGUUAACUUGGUUUAAAACAAGCAGACAGAAGGCGGCCAUUGUGAUGCUGUUCAUAGUUUAUCAUUUUGAUUUUGUCAAUGACACCAAUGUCAGACCCACACGAUGGAGAGAUUUACAGCUUAAAAAAUAUGUAGGAUAGUGGUCAUGGUUUUCGCAUGCA
Scophthalmus maximus (turbot) is the source of this 996-nucleotide long non-coding RNA. RefSeq lists it as uncharacterized. Lineage: Eukaryota; Metazoa; Chordata; Actinopteri; Pleuronectiformes; Scophthalmidae. The record is from RefSeq and is a predicted model, not a curated record. The transcript has 4 exons.